UUAAGCGACUAAGCGUACACGGUGGAUGCCCUGGCAGUCAGAGGCGAUGAAGGACGUGCUAAUCUGCGAAAAGCGUCGGUAAGGUGAUAUGAACCGUUAUAACCGGCGAUGUCCGAAUGGGGAAACCCAGUGCAAUUCGUUGCACUAUCGUUAACUGAAUACAUAGGUUAACGAGGCGAACCGGGGGAACUGAAACAUCUAAGUACCCCGAGGAAAAGAAAUCAACCGAGAUUCCCCCAGUAGCGGCGAGCGAACGGGGAACAGCCCAGAGUCUGAAUCAGCUUGUGUGUUAGUGGAACGGUCUGGAAAGUCCGACGGUACAGGGUGAUAGUCCCGUACACCAAAAUGCACAGGCUGUGAACUCGAAGAGUAGGGCGGGACACGUGGUAUCCUGUCUGAAUAUGGGGGGACCAUCCUCCAAGGCUAAAUACUCCUGACUGACCGAUAGUGAACCAGUACCGUGAGGGAAAGGCGAAAAGAACCCCGGCGAGGGGAGUGAAAAAGAACCUGAAACCGUGUACGUACAAGCAGUGGGAGCACCUUCGGGUGUGACUGCGUACCUUUUGUAUAAUGGGUCAGCGACUUAUAUUCUGUAGCAAGGUUAACCGUAUAGGGGAGCCGCAGGGAAACCGAGUCUUAACUGGGCGUUAAGUUGCAGGGUAUAGACCCGAAACCCGGUGAUCUAGCCAUGGGCAGGUUGAAGGUUGGGUAACACUAACUGGAGGACCGAACCGACUAAUGUUGAAAAAUUAGCGGAUGACUUGUGGCUGGGGGUGAAAGGCCAAUCAAACCGGGAGAUAGCUGGUUCUCCCCGAAAGCUAUUUAGGUAGCGCCUCGUGAACUCAUCUUCGGGGGUAGAGCACUGUUUCGGCUAGGGGGUCAUCCCGACUUACCAACCCGAUGCAAACUACGAAUACCGAAGAAUGUUAUCACGGGAGACACACGGCGGGUGCUAACGUCCGUCGUGAAGAGGGAAACAACCCAGACCGCCAGCUAAGGUCCCAAAGUCAUGGUUAAGUGGGAAACGAUGUGGGAAGGCACAGACAGCCAGGAUGUUGGCUUAGAAGCAGCCAUCAUUUAAAGAAAGCGUAAUAGCUCACUGGUCGAGUCGGCCUGCGCGGAAGAUGUAACGGGGCUAAACCAUGCACCGAAGCUGCGGCAGCGACACUAUGUGUUGUUGGGUAGGGGAGCGUUCUGUAAGCCUGCGAAGGUGACCUGUGAGGGUUGCUGGAGGUAUCAGAAGUGCGAAUGCUGACAUAAGUAACGAUAAAGCGGGUGAAAAGCCCGCUCGCCGGAAGACCAAGGGUUCCUGUCCAACGUUAAUCGGGGCAGGGUGAGUCGACCCCUAAGGCGAGGCCGAAAGGCGUAGUCGAUGGGAAACAGGUUAAUAUUCCUGUACUUGGUGUUACUGCGAAGGGGGGACGGAGAAGGCUAUGUUAGCCGGGCGACGGUUGUCCCGGUUUAAGCAUGUAGGCUGGUUAUCCAGGCAAAUCCGGAUAAUCAAGGCUGAGGUGUGAUGACAAGGCACUACGGUGCUGAAGUAACAAAUGCCCUGCUUCCAGGAAAAGCCUCUAAGCAUCAGGUAACAUCAAAUCGUACCCCAAACCGACACAGGUGGUCAGGUAGAGAAUACCAAGGCGCUUGAGAGAACUCGGGUGAAGGAACUAGGCAAAAUGGUGCCGUAACUUCGGGAGAAGGCACGCUGGUGUGUAGGUGAAGCCCCUGCGGGUGGAGCUGAGACCAGUCGAAGAUACCAGCUGGCUGCAACUGUUUAUUAAAAACACAGCACUGUGCAAACACGAAAGUGGACGUAUACGGUGUGACGCCUGCCCGGUGCCGGAAGGUUAAUUGAUGGGGUUAUCCGUAAGGAGAAGCUCUUGAUCGAAGCCCCGGUAAACGGCGGCCGUAACUAUAACGGUCCUAAGGUAGCGAAAUUCCUUGUCGGGUAAGUUCCGACCUGCACGAAUGGCGUAAUGAUGGCCAGGCUGUCUCCACCCGAGACUCAGUGAAAUUGAACUCGCUGUGAAGAUGCAGUGUACCCGCGGCAAGACGGAAAGACCCCGUGAACCUUUACUAUAGCUUGACACUGAACAUUGAGCCUUGAUGUGUAGGAUAGGUGGGAGGCUUUGAAGCGUGGACGCCAGUCUGCGUGGAGCCAACCUUGAAAUACCACCCUUUAAUGUUUGAUGUUCUAACGUUGGCCCCUGACCGGGGUUGCGGACAGUGUCUGGUGGGUAGUUUGACUGGGGCGGUCUCCUCCCAAAGCGUAACGGAGGAGCACGAAGGUUAGCUAAUCCUGGUCGGACAUCAGGAGGUUAGUGCAAUGGCAUAAGCUAGCUUGACUGCGAGCGUGACGGCGCGAGCAGGUGCGAAAGCAGGUCAUAGUGAUCCGGUGGUUCUGAAUGGAAGGGCCAUCGCUCAACGGAUAAAAGGUACUCCGGGGAUAACAGGCUGAUACCGCCCAAGAGUUCAUAUCGACGGCGGUGUUUGGCACCUCGAUGUCGGCUCAUCACAUCCUGGGGCUGAAGUAGGUCCCAAGGGUAUGGCUGUUCGCCAUUUAAAGUGGUACGCGAGCUGGGUUUAGAACGUCGUGAGACAGUUCGGUCCCUAUCUGCCGUGGGCGCUGGAGAAUUGAGGGGGGCUGCUCCUAGUACGAGAGGACCGGAGUGGACGCAUCACUGGUGUUCGGGUUGUCAUGCCAAUGGCACUGCCCGGUAGCUAAAUGCGGAAGAGAUAAGUGCUGAAAGCAUCUAAGCACGAAACUUGCCCCGAGAUGAGUUCUCCCUGAGACUUUAAGUCUCCUGAAGGAACGUUGAAGACGACGACGUUGAUAGGCCGGGUGUGUAAGCGCAGCGAUGUGUUGAGCUAACCGGUACUAAUGAACCGUGAGGCUUAACCUU
Molecule: ribosomal RNA, 2900 nt
Filed under: Klebsiella pneumoniae
Lineage: Bacteria; Pseudomonadati; Pseudomonadota; Gammaproteobacteria; Enterobacterales; Enterobacteriaceae
Description: bacterial LSU rRNA
Rfam family: Bacterial large subunit ribosomal RNA
Source: RNAcentral